UUUAUGGUAAAAGCUUUAUUAACAAAAACUGUAUUUAAAUAAACUCUAUUUGAAAAGGCAUACCAAACGAAUCCUUAAACUUUAAAGAUUAUUUUGCGUAUUCCUGACACUACAUAGAUACAUGUAUCAAUUUCUUAAAUUGCACUUAUUUCUUUUAUCAAUAUUUAUACAUUAGAUUUGAUAUGAUCCAUUACUUAAUUAUUAAUGUAGUGCAUACUUUACCUCUAUAUCACUUGCACGAAGUAUAAUUAAUUCAAAAUAAUAAUUCUGUAACUACCUCUAGAAAGUUAUAACCUCAUCAUAGUAAUUAAAUUAGUUUAAUCUAAUAUUAUGACUAUAAAGAGGUUUUACUAUGGACAAUUAAAAAAAUAACAUGCAAUAACAAUUAACAUUUUCAUAAUUUGAUGCUUUAUUUCAUUUACAAUCAUUCUUGCUCAUUUUCUUUCAAUUAUAUCAAAUUACUUAAAGAUUUUAUGUUCUCAAUCAAUAAAAUUAAAAAGGUUUUCAAAAACAAUUUUUGUACGGUACAAUUUUAAUAAU
Molecule: long non-coding RNA, 540 nt
Filed under: Citrus x clementina
Lineage: Eukaryota; Viridiplantae; Streptophyta; Magnoliopsida; Sapindales; Rutaceae
Description: Citrus clementina (C. clementina) long non-coding RNA (CCLE_LNC002541)
Source: RNAcentral